Molecule: non-coding RNA, 136 nt
Organism: Triticum aestivum (bread wheat)
Lineage: Eukaryota; Viridiplantae; Streptophyta; Magnoliopsida; Poales; Poaceae
Source: Rfam
UAUGUUAUUCCUCCGUCCGAAAAUACUUGUCAUCAAAAUGAAUAAAAGGGGGGUGUAUCUACAACUAAUAUACGUCUGGAUACAUCAUAUUUUAUUCAUUUUGAUGACAAGUAUUUCUAGACGGAGGGAGUACUUU